This 540-nucleotide ribosomal RNA is filed under the name Gekko cib. RNAcentral describes it as "partial large subunit ribosomal RNA". It matches the Rfam family "Bacterial large subunit ribosomal RNA", at positions 1844 to 2605 of the family's 2925-position model. The record is from RNAcentral. Lineage: Eukaryota; Metazoa; Chordata; Lepidosauria; Squamata; Gekkonidae.
AUUAAGGUCCUGCCUGCCCAGUGAAAUUUCAACGGCCGCGGUAUCAUAACCGUGCAAAGGUAGCGUAAUCACUUGCCCCCUAAAUAGGGGCCCGUAUGAACGGCUAAAUGAGGGCAAACCUGUCCCCUUAGACUACUCAAUGAAACUGAUCUAUCAGUACAAAAGCUGAUAUACACCCAUAAGACGAGAAGACCCUGUGGAGCUUUAAACUCAAACACUACCCUUAACCAACCACCCUGGCCCUGGCCAUAAAACACGCUCCAAAAUAGUGUUAGUUUUAAGUUGGGGCGACUGCGGAACAAAACAAAACUUCCAUAAUACAGGCUCCCCCCCAUCAAAGACCUACAAGUCAAAGAAAAACACCAUUGACCCAGUUAAUACUGAUCGCCGAACCAAGUUACCCCAGGGAUAACAGCGCCAUCCCCUUUAAGAGUCCCUAUCGCUAAGGGGGCUUACGACCUCGAUGUUGGAUCAGGACCCCCAGGUGGUGCAGCCGCUACCAAAGGUUCGUUUGUUCAACGAUUAAUGUCCUACGUGAUC